AUACCAUGGUGAGGGUACUUUCGCAAUAACUUUUUGAACCUCUCCCAUACCUCAUACAGAGAUUCAUCAUCAAGUUAUUGAAAUGUAGUGAUCUCAUUUCGAAGCUU
Gossypium raimondii (Peruvian cotton) is the source of this 107-nucleotide small nucleolar RNA. It matches the Rfam family "Plant small nucleolar RNA R71". Rfam says of the family: R71 is a member of the C/D box family of snoRNAs containing the C (UGAUGA) and D (CUGA) box motifs. Multiple nearly identical copies of this snoRNA have been identified in Arabidopsis, and it is thought to function as a 2'-O-ribose methylation guide for 18S ribosomal RNA. The record is from Rfam. Lineage: Eukaryota; Viridiplantae; Streptophyta; Magnoliopsida; Malvales; Malvaceae.